GCUGACUCUCUUUUCAGAUUCAGCCCAGUUGCACCCAAGUAAAAUAAACAGUCUUGUUGCUCACACAAAGCCUGUUGGUGGACUCUCUUCAUAUGGACUCAUGUGACAUUUGGUGCCGAAGACCUGAGACAGGAGGACUCCUUUGGGAGACCGGUCCCCUGUCCUCGCCCUCUCUCCAUGAGAUCCACCCAUGACCUCGGGUCCUCAGCCCAGCCGAAGGAACUUCUCACCAAUUUUAAAUCGGGGACGCAAAGCCAACAAGAAUGAAGAAGUGGCCAGGAAAUUAAAGCAAUGUGAACACCCUCUGGCCAGCCUGUUGGAGGGUGAGAGACCACAUGGAGGAGACAGAGCCCUGAUGUCCCAGCUGAGGACAUCCCAGAAAAGCCUAUUUCCAGACAACUGAGGACAGGUGAAUGAGUUCUUUGUAGAUGAACCAGAAUCCAGUCUAUCUACCUGCUGAGCACAGACAUCUGCCAAACAGGGAAGGGCCGCCUGUCCAGUGGAUACAUGACCCACAUGACCUUACCUAUCAUUGGAGAUGGCUCACACUGCUCACCCUGCCCCCUUGUCUUGUAUCCAAUAAAUAACAGCGCAGCCUGGCAUUCGGGGCCACUACUGGUCACUGUGUCUUGGUGGUAGUGGUUCCCCGGGCCCAGCUGUUUUUUCUUUUA
Molecule: long non-coding RNA, 671 nt
Filed under: Homo sapiens (human)
Lineage: Eukaryota; Metazoa; Chordata; Mammalia; Primates; Hominidae
Description: IGFL2 antisense RNA 1
Source: RNAcentral